RNAcentral lists this ribosomal RNA (395 nucleotides) under uncultured bacterium. Its description in RNAcentral is "bacterial SSU rRNA". It matches the Rfam family "Bacterial small subunit ribosomal RNA", at positions 505 to 898 of the family's 1533-position model. The record is from RNAcentral.
GUGUCAGCAGCCGCGGUAAAACGUAGGUGGCGAGCGUUAUCCGGAUUUACUGGGCGUAAAACGCGUGCAGGCGGUCUGGUAAGUCGGGCGUGAAAUCUCUCGGCUCAACCGAGAGAGGUCGUCCGAUACUACCGGACUUGAGGGCAGUAGAGGAAGGUGGAAUUCCCGGUGUAGUGGUGAAAUGCGUAGAUAUCGGGAGGAACACCAGUGGCGAAGGCGGCCUUCUGGGCUGCCCCUGACGCUCAGACGCGAAAGCUAGGGGAGCGAACGGGAUUAGAAACCCCGGUAGUCCUAGCUAUAAACUAUGCAGACUGGGUGUCGGCGGCUUCAACUCCGCCGGUGCCGUAGCCAACGCGAUAAGUCUGCUGCCUGGGGACUACGGCCGCAAGGUUAAA